This is a small nucleolar RNA of Mastomys coucha (southern multimammate mouse), 132 nucleotides long. RefSeq annotates it as small nucleolar RNA SNORA17. NCBI's taxonomy places the organism in Eukaryota, Metazoa, Chordata, Mammalia, Rodentia, Muridae. The transcript has a single exon. The record is from RefSeq and is a predicted model, not a curated record.
ACUGCCCCUAGAAGCAUUGCAGGUGUGGCUGCUGUGUCACAUGUGUGUCAGUAGGUGACAGAGAAGACAGAGGCUAUGUUUAUGCUCAAUGUUCUGACUUGUGAACCUAUGAAUUAUUAGUACCCUAACAUU